This is an unclassified non-coding RNA of Callithrix jacchus (white-tufted-ear marmoset), 297 nucleotides long. It matches the Rfam family "Metazoan signal recognition particle RNA". Rfam says of the family: The signal recognition particle (SRP) is a universally conserved ribonucleoprotein. It is involved in the co-translational targeting of proteins to membranes. The record is from Ensembl. Lineage: Eukaryota; Metazoa; Chordata; Mammalia; Primates; Cebidae.
GCCGGGCAUGGUGGCGCAUGUCUGUAGUCCCAGCUAUUCGGGAGGCUGAGGCUGGAGGAUCGUUUGAACCCAGGAGUUCUGGGCUGCAGUGUGCUAUGCCGAUCAUGUGUCCACACUAAGUUUGGCAUCAAUAUGGUGACCUCCUGGGAGCGGGGGACCACCAGGUUGCCUAAGGAGGGGUGAACUGGCCCAGGUCAGAAAUGGAGGUCAAAACUGCCGUGCUGAUCAUUAGUGGGAUCACGCCUGUGAAUAGCCACUGCACUCCAGCCUGGGCAACAUAGCGAGACUCCGUCUCUA